ACGGGUGAGUAACACGUGGGUGAUCUGCCCUGCACUUCGGGAUAAGCCUGGGAAACUGGGUCUAAUACCGGAUAUGACCUCCUGUUGCAUGACUUGGGGUGGAAAGAUUUAUCGGUGCAGGAUGGGCCCGCGGCCUAUCAGCUUGUUGGUGGGGUAAUGGCCUACCAAGGCGACGACGGGUAGCCGACCUGAGAGGGUGACCGGCCACACUGGGACUGAGACACGGCCCAGACUCCUACGGGAGGCAGCAGUGGGGAAUAUUGCACAAUGGGCGAAAGCCUGAUGCAGCGACGCCGCGUGAGGGAUGACGGCCUUCGGGUUGUAAACCUCUUUCAGCAGGGACGAAGCGCAAGUGACGGUACCUGCAGAAGAAGCACCGGCUAACUACGUGCC
RNAcentral lists this ribosomal RNA (393 nucleotides) under uncultured bacterium. Its description in RNAcentral is "bacterial SSU rRNA". It matches the Rfam family "Bacterial small subunit ribosomal RNA", at positions 102 to 509 of the family's 1533-position model. The record is from RNAcentral.